Molecule: transfer RNA, 67 nt
Filed under: Forcipomyia makanensis
Lineage: Eukaryota; Metazoa; Arthropoda; Insecta; Diptera; Ceratopogonidae
Description: Forcipomyia sp. m QL-2019 tRNA-His
Source: RNAcentral
AUUUAAAUAGUUUAUUUUGAAAAUAUUGAUUUGUGGAGUCAAAGAUAUGUAUUUAACAUUUUAAAUC